GGGCCAAUCAGAACCUGCCGGGGGGUCUCUAUGCUGACCGGAAGUGGGUCUGUUACCCGGGGGCCAUCUUGCCGCUCGAGGUGCCGAGCCUUAGAGACGCGGGUCCCCGGGGGUCGAGGAAGGGGAGGCAGCUGUCGGUCACCGAGCUCCCGGGCGCAGGCCAGCCCGAGACCAGGCCCUAGAACCUUCCAGAUGCCGGUGUAUGUAUCGGGCCGCGGAGGUUGGGUCUCCCGCGGCUGGGCAUCAUCGCGCAUGCGCGGCCGGGCCAUGGCUGCCGCUCCGCAGGAGCUGCUGAUGCUGUGGGAAACUGGGCUUCUCUGGAAGCAGCCAGGCCGGGGUGCAGUCCCACCCCCAGCCCAGGAGGCUGGCUGGAGGAGGCUGGCCCAGCGCGGCCCUUGUGGCCUCAGCCAGCCUGUCUACACUGCGGUCCCUCCUCCAGGACCAGAGCCCCUGUCGGAGGUAGGGGGCCUUCCUGGCUCUGCAGGCUGUGGAGUUGGCUCCAUGUGA
RNAcentral lists this long non-coding RNA (507 nucleotides) under Vulpes vulpes (red fox). RNAcentral's name for it is "lncRNA (ENSVVUG00000016861.1)". The record is from RNAcentral. Lineage: Eukaryota; Metazoa; Chordata; Mammalia; Carnivora; Canidae.